UACAGAGGUCUCAAGCGUUGUUCGGAUUCAUUGGGCGUAAAGGGUGCGUAGGCGGCGCGGUAAGUCGGGUGUGAAAUCUUGGAGCUUAACUCCGAAACUGCAUUCGAUACUGCCGUGCUUGAGGACUGGAGAGGAGACUGGAAUUUACGGUGUAGCGGUGAAAUGCGCAGAUAUCGGGAGGAACACCGGUGGCGAAGGCGGUUCUCUGGGCCUUACCUGACGCUGAGGAGCGAAAGCGUGGGGAGCGAACAGG
This 253-nucleotide ribosomal RNA is filed under the name uncultured bacterium. RNAcentral describes it as "partial 16S ribosomal RNA". It matches the Rfam family "Bacterial small subunit ribosomal RNA", at positions 524 to 776 of the family's 1533-position model. The record is from RNAcentral.